Quercus lobata is the source of this 1002-nucleotide long non-coding RNA. RefSeq lists it as uncharacterized. Lineage: Eukaryota; Viridiplantae; Streptophyta; Magnoliopsida; Fagales; Fagaceae. The record is from RefSeq and is a predicted model, not a curated record. The transcript is spliced from 2 exons.
UGGGAAGCCUUUUUCUUCACCUUCUUCUUCCUCUGCAAUUUACAUCUAUUGAUGGCCUUUGUAAUCAUGAGUCUUUGUGCCAUCAUUGCUAUGAAAAGCCUCUCUCUCUCUCUCUCUCUCUCUCUCUCCAUGUGCCCAUACAAACACAAUAUCUGAGCUGUAUGACUCUUACUAAUAGCGACUCUCCUAUUUAAAGUCAAGAAGCCCUUCUCUUACAAACCACUUUUUUCUCUCUUAUAGCUUUCACUCUCUCCCUCUCUUUUUAUUGUAGAAUUGAAGUACCUCUUUCUCGAGUCAAGAAACGAAGUUUCAGAGAAAAAAACAAGAUGGUCACUAACACUUUGUCCAUCCCAUGUAAUCCCUUGUCUUCUACUUUUCGACAUCCAAGGCUGUCAAAGAGACACAACCUUAGAGUUCGCCGGCUUAACAGGAGAAGAAGAGUUUUGAAAGAAGAAGCAAAGAAGAAUAAAAGGGUGAGAGUAGUGAAGAUGGAAAUGAAGAACUUGAAAUUGUUCAUGGUAAACCGAAGCAUCAUAGAAGAGAACGAGAAGCUGAGACAGAAAGCUUUGCUGCUUCACCAAGAGAAUCAGGCCCUGUUAUUUCAGCUCCAAACAAAGCUCUCUCAACAACAGAAACAGCAACAACAAUCACUAAUAUGAAUAUAUACUGCUUUUUGCAGAAACUAAUUAGAAGAAUAGGAAGGAAUAGGGGCCUCUGUUCUUUGAUCUUUUGGGGUAGUCUCAUCUCAAUGUCUUCUCUCUCCUCUGUUUUAUUUUCCUUUUCUUUACUCUUUUUUUUGGUUGUCUGGACUCUGGAGUUAACUUAAGUUCUUUGAACAAUUAGCUAGGGUGGGGAAUGAAUAAAGGAAAAAUGGGUUAUUAGCCUUUUUGUGAGUAAUACAUGCAUGGAUUAUAAUGUAUCAUAGUGCAACUAUGAGUCCUUCUAUGAGUAUUACAUGGAAUUUAAUGUAGAACGCAACAACUAUGCAUGUAAUUAUAUAUA